Molecule: ribosomal RNA, 360 nt
Filed under: uncultured bacterium
Lineage: Bacteria
Description: bacterial SSU rRNA
Rfam family: Bacterial small subunit ribosomal RNA
Source: RNAcentral
AACGAACGCUGGCGGCAGGCCUAACACAUGCAAGUCGAACGAGUAAGAGCCGUAGCAAUACGGAGUUCUGCUAGUGGCGCACGGGUGAGUAACGCGUGGGAACGUGCCUUGGAGUUCGGGAUAACAGUUGGAAACGACUGCUAAUACCGAAUAUUCCCUCAGGGGGGAAAGAUUUAUCGCUCCAAGAUCGGACCCGCGUAAGAUUAGGAGUUGGUGGGGUAAUGGCCUACCAAGCCUACGAUCUUUAGCUGGUCUGAGAGGACGACCAGCCACACUGGAACUGAGACACGGUCCAGACUCCUACGGGAGGCAGCAGUGGGGAAUAUUGGACAAUGGGCGAAAGCCUGAUCCAGCAUGCCG